UGACUCAGUAUCUUUACUAACAUCUUUGC
RNAcentral lists this small RNA (29 nucleotides) under Bombyx mori (domestic silkworm). RNAcentral's name for it is "ovarian small RNA-31908". Lineage: Eukaryota; Metazoa; Arthropoda; Insecta; Lepidoptera; Bombycidae. The record is from RNAcentral.